This 74-nucleotide microRNA precursor is filed under the name Podarcis lilfordi (Lilford's wall lizard). The record is from RNAcentral. Lineage: Eukaryota; Metazoa; Chordata; Lepidosauria; Squamata; Lacertidae.
UGUGUGUGUGUGUGUGUGUGUGUGUGUGUCUGUCUAUAGAUACACACACACACACACACACACACACACACACC